Molecule: long non-coding RNA, 16911 nt
Filed under: Triticum aestivum (bread wheat)
Lineage: Eukaryota; Viridiplantae; Streptophyta; Magnoliopsida; Poales; Poaceae
Description: long non-coding RNA (TAES_LNC004132)
Source: RNAcentral
UGAAUGAAAUGCAAUAACGGGUAGUUGUUGUGCGUUGUAUCUUCGUGAUCCCCUGUUAUGUUGUGCUAUCUGUUAUGUGUUGCUAUUAUCACAACCUGAAUAGGUUGUCUGAAUUUGUGAUGGGGCUAGCUUUCGGUAACUUGUUAUUAGGUAAAGACUUGGCAAAUGUAAUCGUGAUAUGGAACUGCUCAUAUUUGGUUUCUUGAAGACUAGACAAUCCUUACUAUUCGUGUUCAUGGAUAUUAACUUUUUUAUUUUUGUUGGUUUCACUCGAGAUCACUGCAACUGGUCUGCCUGCUGGCUGGAUGCUUCGUUAGAUUAUGUGUAUGGUUUCUCUUGUCAAGAACAAAUUCUUUGACAGCAAAAUGGAUGUACAGAGAUGGAUUUAGAAAUGGAGGAGUAAUUUAUUUGUUGUAUGAUUCAACCAUAAAAUUUAUAUAUUUUCAGUGUGGAUUCAUAUAUGCUCAACAAGUUACCCCUAGUUGCACUUGCACUUAUUUAUGUUGAAGUUGUUGACGUAUAUCUAGAACGUUUACAACAUGUGUUGCCGCACAUUGUCCUCAUCAUCCAUAAUCAUGUUGUGCAAGAUUACAAAACAUGUCAUCAACUGCACAAUAUCAUUGGAUCCCACAUCAUUGCAGCUCCAUGAACAAAACCCCCAGGAUGCCGGAGCAAUCUGAAUGCCCUAUCCACAUCUUUCCUGGCACCUUCUUGCAUUCUUGCAAAAUGACAUUAUUUGUUACCUUGGCGCUUAGAUAUAGUCUUCACAAAAGCUGUCCACUGGGGACAAAUACCAUUGGCAAGGUACUAUCCAUUUUGUAGUUAUGCAUGUUGACAAUGUAGUUGCAUGCUGGAGUAUCACCAUCACAGAGUCUCUUGAACAACGGAGAUUACUAGAGCACAUUGAUGUCGUUAUGCGAACCUCGCAUGUCAAAUCUGCAAAUUCUUUGGUGCCACUGCUUCAAGCAUGAUGGUGGCCUCUUUGGUGCGACCUUGGUAUUGUCCUUGCAAACUUGUCGCGCAAUACUUUGAUAACCCACAAGUAUAGGGGAUCGCUACAGUCUUCAAGUGUAGUAUCUCACCCAAAUUUAUUAAUUCGACACAAGGGGAGCCAAAUAAUAUUUAUGAGCCUUAGCAGUUGAGUUGUCAAUUCAACCACACAUGUGAAAUUAUAUUUCUGCAGCAAAGUGUUCAGUAGCUGAUAUGUCUCCAACGUAUCUAUAAUUUUUGAUUGUUCCAUGCUAUUAUAUUAUCUGUUUUGGAUGUUUUAUAUGCAUUAAUAUGCGAUUUUAUAUUAUUUUUGGGACUAACCUUUUAACCUAGAGCCCAGUGCCAGUGUCUAUUUCCCCCCUUGUUUUUGAGUUUUACAGAAAAAAAAUACCAAACACAAUCCAAACGGAAUAAAACUUUUGCGAUGAUUUUUCUUGGACCAGAAGACACCAGAGGACUUGGAGAGGGGCCAGAAGGUUCCUGAGGAGGCCACAAGCCUCCUAGGCGCGCCGCGGGGGGGGGGCUGAGGGCUUGUGGGCCCCUCGGGAGUCCUCCAACCCUAAUCUUUCCACUAUAAAUUCAGAAAUAUCCCCCCAACAUCAGAGGCAUCCACAAAAAUACUUUUCCACCGCCGCAAGCCUCUGUUCCCGUGAGAUCCCAUCUUGGGGCCUUUUCCGGCACCCUGUCGGAGGGGGAUUCGAUCACAGAGGGCCUCUACAUCAACCUUGAUGCCCUUCUAAUGAAGCGUGAGUAGUUUACCACAGACCUAUGAGUCCAUAGCUAGUAGCUUGAUGGCUUCUUCUCUCUCUUUGAUAUUCAAUACAAUGUUCUCCUCGAUGUUCUUGGAGUUCUAUCCGACGUAAUAUUCUUUUGCGAUGUGUUUGUCGAGAUCCGAUGAAUUGUUGAUUUAUGAUCAGAUUAUCUAUGAAUAUUAUCUGAGUCUUCUCUGAACUCUUUUAUGCAUGAUUAAAUAUCUUUGUAUUUCUCUUCGAAUUAUCGGUUUGGUUUGGCCAACUAGAUUGGGUUUUCUUGCAAUGGGUACCCGCGAGUGAUGUGGAGACGGGUUGGCCAAGAAGGUGCCCGCGAGAUACUUACGAGGCGUGGCCGGACAUUCCUAGCCCCUGCCGCAAGUCCUCGAGACGGGGCAAUGGGGUCACAUCUUUCGUGAGUCUCUGCUUGUUACCACACGUUCCUAAUCCACUACGAUUUGGAUAUUUGAUCCAAGGGGCCUCUGGCCUGAUAGCACUAACCAUCACGUGGGCAUAGUAUGGGCGUUCUGCGUCGUAUACAUCAACCGAAGCUUAAUAGACAUCAGCGACUGAGCGGCGCGCGCCGGGUUGGACUGCGUAAGCACUUGCCUUUUUGAAGGAGGUAGCUAGGUCUGCUCACCGGCCGCCCACACAACGUGCAGGAGUUCCCGGGGAGAUGGCCCAUGACCCCUGGGGGCAUAGGUUUAGUCCGGCAUGCUUGACCUCUCUAUUAAGCCUAGGUCGGGUUGCGGCGUAUUGUUUGGCCGAGGCAGGGCAUGACCGAGGAAAGUGUGUUCGGCCGGAGUUAAUCGAGCGUGGUGGGUAAGUUGGUGCACCCCUGCAGGGAAGAAAACAUCUAUCAAUAGCUCGUCCUACGGUAACGGACACUUGGAGUUGUAUCCCGAUCGAUACAACUAAAACUGGAUACUUGUGAUGAGAAUUGGAUUGUGAUGAGGUGAUAACUGGAUGGUAUGGCUCUGGGAUUGCUUUCUCACAGGGAGUCGAGAAAGGAUCUCUGGCCGAGGUUGAUAACACUACUACUACUUUACUUUAUGCUACUCUACUCCCUCCUGUUUGCUGCAAGAUGGUGGUUUCCUGAAGAUGCUAGUCUUUGAUAGGACUAGGCCUUCUCUCUAUUCUGGCAUUUCUGCAGCCCAGUCCACAUAUACAGCCCCUCUUUGAUAAUGUUGCAUAUGUAGUGUAGAUCCUUGCUUGCGAGUACUUUGGAUGAGUACUCACGGUUGCUUGCUCCCCCUUUUCCCCCUUUCUUCUUCUUUCCGGUUGAUGCAACCAGAUGUCGGAGCCCAGGAUCCAGACGCCACCUUUGACGACGACUGCUACUACCACGAGGGUGCCUACUACUACGUGAAGACCGCUGACGACUAGGAAUAGUUAGGAGGCUCCCAGGCAGGAGGCCUUGCCUUUUCGAUCGUAGAUGCUUUUGUGCUAGCCUUCUUAAGGCAAACUUGUCUAACCUAUGUGUGUACUCACAUAUUGUUGCUUCCGCUGACUCUUGUGUAUUUGAGCUUAUGUAUUCGAGCCCUCGAGGCCCCUGGCUUGUAAUAUAAAGCUUGUAUUAUUUUAAUUUGUGUCUAGAGUUGUGUUGUGACAUCUUCCCGUGAGUCCAUGAUCUUGAUCAUACACAUUUGCGUGUAUGAUUAGUGUACGAUUGAAUCGAGGGUGUCACAAGUUGGUAUCAGAGCCGACUACCUGUAGGUAGCCCCCUUUCCAAUUCCUUGGCCGAAGUUGAGUCUAGUCACUAAAAAACUUGUACUAACAUUGGCUGUGUGUCUUACGGGCCCACAUCGCCAUUGGGUGGUAUUAGGAUCUUUUACUCCUCGUCUAUACUCUAGGACUCUUAACUCUCUUCUACUCGGGUUAAAUGAAUUUACUAACUCUAACAUUAGGAUCCCGUGACCACAUUCACCCCAAAGUUGGAUAAGCCAUAGUUAUUCCUUAGAAUAGCCUCUUGAAUAGUACACACACCGUCGAGUUGACUACUAUGUGGUAUCCAUCAUACCUCUUUCUUUAUGCAUGUUUCAUCAUGAAUGAUCCUUGUAUUUGCAAAUGCUCAAUGCUGAACUACCCCCUGUUACAUGUCAGCAGGAUGGUUAGACCCGCUGGUCGUGGCCAUGGUGCCAACGAUCCACCACCACCCGAAUUCUUUGCCGGAAUGAUGCAGCAAUUUGAGCUGAACCGCCAGUUCAUGGAAGGAAUGAUGGCUCAGUUUCCUUGUCCGAACAUGAAUCAGCAGCCAACCCCAGUAACUCUGCACGACUUCAUGCGCCUCAACCCAACUAUUUACCGCAACUCAACUCAGCCCCUCGAUGCUGAUGACUGGCUCCGCGACAUCACAUAUGAAAUGGAGUCUGCUAGUGUGGCCCCUGCUAGCUAUGUCACCUUUGCAUCAUUCUUUCUGAAGGGUCCCGCUGCUCAAUGGUGGGACAGCCAUAGGCAUACUCUACCUGUUGGAACAGUCAUCACUUGGCCGGAUUUCCAAGCUGCCUUCCGUGCUCGUUUUAUUCCUCAGGGAAUCAUGGACAAGAAGAAGCGCGAGUUCCACAACCUCACCCAAGGAAAUAAGGCUGUAGAUGCUUAUCAGUGGGAAUUUCUAGACUUGUCACGUUAUGCUGAAGAAGACAUUGCAACUGAUGCUCGUAAGCAAGAGAAGUUUCGUGACGGACUUCACCCGUAUAUCAAGCUAGCACUGCUCGUUCAUGACUUUGCUGAUUUCGCCACUUUGGUGAACAAGGCUAUUCAGGUUGAGACUGGUCUUCAGGAACACCAGGGAUCCCUCAGCGCAGCCGUGACGCUGGCUCAUCUUCGGGCCCGUCAGCACAGAAGCGUCGGAUAUGGAUCCCCCACAGCAUGUAUCAUCCAACUGCACCUGCUCCAAGACAUUCCUAUGUUGCACCUCGUCUACCUCCUCCACCGCAAAGGCAACCUCUUCGAGCUGUACCACCCAAAGCUCCUGAUCCCAACCCCAAUGAUGGUCUAUGCUUCAAGUGUGGCCUUCCAGGUCACCGCUCCAGGAAAUGUCCUCAGAAUCAGAAUCAACUCGCUCUUCCUGCUGCUGGUCGUGGUAACAAUCAACCCCGCAACAACAAUGCCCGACCUUAUGGUUGUGGGCAGGCUAACAACAUUGAUCUGAAUGAAGCUCAAGACCAGCCUGCUACUGUGAUGGGUACUCUCCUUGUUAAUUCAGUACCAGCUUCUGUUUUAUUCGAUUCAGGAGCAUCACAUUCAUUCAUGUCAGAAAAUUUUGCAUACGCACAUGACAUUCGAUGUGAGCCCAUGAACACUCUGAUAGUGGUACGCACCCCUGCGGGUCAGUGUUGAACUACCAUGAUUGGUCGCGACGUCCCCGUUGAAAUUGAAGGGUUGGAAUUUCAUGUUUCUCCCAUUAUUCUGGAGUCUUCCAAUAUUGACCUCAUUCUGGGAAUGGAAUGGUUGAAAGCACAAUACUGCCUCUAUCGUUUGCACCACCAAAGUCAUUCAUCUCCUACAUCCUUCCGAUGAGAUAGUAAGCUACCAUGCUCAGAUUGUUCAAAACGCUGAAGCAUGACUUUAUGCUUUGAAUGCGUUGAAUGCAGCACCUCUUGAGGGAAUUGAAAAGAUUCCAGUCGUUCGCGACUUCCAAGACGUAUUUCCAUAAGAACUUCUAGGAAUACCCCAUGCCCGGGCUGUCGAGUUCGUCAUCGACUUGAAACCAGGCACCGUUCCUAUUGCCAAACGACCCUACAAGAUGCCACCUCAUGAACUCCUUGAACUUAAGGAGGAAAUCGACAAAUCUCUUCGUAGUAGUUUCAUUCGUCCAAGUUUCUCUGCUUGGGGAGCACCUUCUCUCUUCGUCAAGAAGAAGGACGGAACGAACCGUCUAGUCCAAGACUACCGUCCUAUCAACCAAGCUACAAUUCAGAACAAAUAUCCCCUUCCUCGGAUCAAUGAUCUGUAUGAUCAACUAGCUGGUUCAUCGAUAUUCUCUAAACUUGACUUGAGGUUGGGUUACCACCAGAUCCGUGUUCGUGAAGAGGAUAUUCCAAAGACUGCAUUCGUCACUCGUUAUGGUUCUUACGAGUACACAAUUAUGUAUUUUGGCUUAACCAAUGCUCCAGCUACAUUCUCUCGUCUGAUGAACUAUAUAUUCAUGGAUUACCUCGACAAGUUUUUCGUAGUCUAUCUGGAUGAUAUACUAGUAUAUUACCGAAAAAAUCUUUCGCCCCGCUUUAUAUAUAAAGCACCAAACCACAAAGACCAUGAUAGAAACUCACGCCACCACCGCACAUGACACACACACCCAAGGCAAGAUACAAGGGUGCCGGGCACCGCCACACCACCCCAACGACUACCAAGCCACUACAAAUGCGCGAGGACAAACUGCUUGGAGCCACCAGAGACCUCCUCCUCCGAGGGGAGGUGAGACGGGAAUGACUGAACCAGGACUCCAAGAUGGUGCCUCCAAGAAGGGAACGACCACGAUAGCCGCCACCAUCCGAUCCCAAAGAUCGGGUUUUCACCCGGAGCAACUCGAAGGAGAAAGGCCACUGCAACGGAGCCUACAGGAAGGAUACGGUGUCCACGGACGCCGCCACCGUCAGCCAAUACAAGAUUGGGCAGGUAAUGAACCCCAGCACGCCCACCCCUCCGAAGCAACCUAGCUCCGUCAACCACCAGCGACCACCCACCCACGUGGCCGUGGCCGCUCGCCCGCACCGAGGCGCAAGUCCCGCCCACGAACUUCGUGCCUCCCACCGCCGGGGCCGCCGCCCUGCAUCCAGACACCCCCAGGACCGACCAAAGUGAUCAGCUUGGGCCAAAGGGCGCACCCGACCGAAGAAACCGCGGCAUACAUCCCGCCUCGAACAACGCCGGAGUUGCGUCAGCCCACACAUGGCUGGGGAACGGGGGAGGAGGGGGAGCGGACGCAUCCGGGCCGGCACACCCCUGUGCCAGCGACGGGUGGCCCGGGCUCGGCGGCGCCUCCCGUCCCUCCAGCCUGCCUCCCCACCGGACAACUCGGUAUCGCCCCACCUCGGCGGCGACCGCAGCUCCACUCGAGGCCACCAACAUACACCCGCCCACCGGCAAGGAGAGAUCCCGAGGGCCGCCACCAAUCGCGAAGGAAGCUCACUGAGGAGCCCAUCUGCGCGGCCCACCGUCGUCCAGCCGCCGAAGCUUCGGAUCCCGGCCAGCCCGCCCACCAGCCAACCGCUGCCGCGUCGCACCACCACUCGCCGUGGCCAUGGCAGGGGCAGAGACUAGCAGCCCGCACCGCCCUUGGCCCGUGCCGCCAGGUCCCAGAUCCGGCCUCGACCCGCGCCGAAGGACCCGGAUCUGGCGACCAAGGCACGCCCACCACCGCCGCGCCGGUCACGCCGCCGCCACGAAGCCGUCGCCAUCAGGCUCCAGCUCGCCGCCGUGCUGCCAUGCCCGCCACCAGCACCGCAUCCCAGGCGGCCGCCGCGACCCGCGCCGGAGGCCCCCACCAAGGAGACAAGGCAGCCCUGCCGCCGCCGGCGCCUACCAGGCUUCGCCCGGCGCGCCCUCUUUGGCGGCGACGAGGGAGAGGAAGGAGGAGGAGGGGAAGCCCGCCGGCGGCGCUAGGGUUUCUCCCGAGACGCGCGCGCGGGGCGCGUCGCGGGAGCGAGAGGGAGGAGGGGAUCGCGUCGGAAUUUCCUUUUUUCGUCGAAGAAUAAAGAAGAACAUGCUAAACAUCUUCGUCUUGUUCUGGAGAAGCUCCGAGAACAUCAACUUUAUGCCAAGUAUUCCAAGUGUGAAUUCUGGUUACCCGAAGUCACCUACCUUGGUCAUGUCAUCUCCAAGGAUGGUAUUGCCGUCAACCCAGAGCGUGUUCAGGCUAUUCUUGACUGGACCCCUCCGAAGACUGUCAAGCAAGUCAGAAGCUUUCUCGGACUAGCCAGGUAUUGUCGCAGCUUUGUCGAUAACUUCUCCAAGAUCGCCAAGCCACUUACCAAUCUGCUACACAAAGGCGUUAAGUUUGAUUGGAUUGAAAAGUGUCAGGAAAGUUUCCAGGCACUCAAGGACAAGCUGACAUCUGCCCCAGUGCUUGCUCCCCCUGAUUCUCGCAAGGACUUCGUCAUCUAUUGCGACGCUUCACGACAAGGACUAGGAUGUGUCCUAAUGCAAGAGCAUAGAGUGAUUGCUUAUGCCUCCCGUCAAGUGCGUCCUCACAAAGAGAACUACCCAGUUCAUGACCUCGAGCUUGCUGCGGUUAUCUUUGCACUGAAGCUAUGGCGACAGUACCUUCUCGGUAACCGUUGCGAGAUCUUCACCGAUCAUCAGAGUCUGAAGUACCUGUUUACUCAGCCAGAUCUGAACUCCAUCAGCAGCGAUGGAUGGAAGCUAUUGCUGACUACAACUGCGGUAUAUCUUAUACCCCUGGUAAGGCUAAUGUAAUGGCCGAUGCCCUGAGCCGUAAGUCUUACUGCAACAAUCACAUGGUCUACAAAUCUCAACCCCGCCUUUAUAAAGAGCUAUGCAAGCUAAACCUUCAACUAGUUCCAUAGGGUUCUGAUGUAGGGUGGAACCCUAUGUGGACGAUCUUUCAUGUUUGGAGUGGAUCCUACGGGAAAUCACGAAGAACACGCGGAAGCACAAAGGGGAACACGGAGGAAACGAGAGGGAAAUCACUCAACCAACAAGGAAUCAAUCACACAAGUGCUAGAUCACCGAACACAAAGAGAUACAUAUGAUCCACAAUCAACAAAGGUAAGGAUACAAAGGAACCGUUCUUCUCCGUGAGGAGGCCUUGAAAUCCACGAGGGGAUCUUCUCACGAGGGGGUCUUGAAUCCGAUAGGAUCUUCUCCGAGGAGGCCGCGGUCUCUCACGAGGAGGAGAUCCGGUGGAUGAGCGAAUAUCUAUCUCUAACUUGAGCUAAAUCAACACUAAAUCUAAUUAGGAGGAGGUGGAGGAGUAUAUAUAGUCUAGGGCCACGAAGGGGUAAGUGAAGGGGUACAUGGGCUGCGGCCCAACACACUGUGCGCAGAUAGGUGUCGGACGUCCGGAGGGUUCCGGUCGUCCGGAGGCUCGGGAAGGUCCGGACGUCCGGUGCUCUUCGGACUUCCGUAGAUUCGGCUCGGGUGCACUUCGGUCGGACGUCCGGAGGGGGCCGGUCGUCCGGAGGCUCGCGGGGUCCCGGACAUCCGAAGUUCUUCGGAUGUCCGCAUAUUCGGUUCGGUGGUCGCUGGCACGGUCGUCCGGAGGGGGCCGGUCGUCCGGAGCCUGGGAGUCGUCGGACGUCCGGUCCUGGUCGGACGUCCGGCCGCUGUAGCUUCGGGCAGCUUCUUCUCUUGGUCCUUGUACUUGGUGUCCUUGCCGUCUUGUCCAUGGUCUUCCUCCUUGUUCCUGGUCAUGCAUAGCACAUAUAUAUGAGGUAGUAACCAUGUCUCACAUGUGGGAAGUGAAGGUUCAGAGAGGAGCGAGUUCACCUUGUGUCCAAUGGCGUAUAGUUGAGGUCUCGUCACAAGUCCUCUUAGGGUUUGGAGAGUAGUCGGAGUGUACAUGGGGAUGAACGUGGGAUGCUCCGCAUCAGGUUCUCUGAAUAACCUUGUCCUGGAACCAACUCUUCUCAAAGCAAUUAAGUCUGCUCAAGCCAAAGAUGCACAUGUUGAUCUGAUGAAAAAGGAUCUUGACUUAGAGAAAUCCAGAGAUUUCUCACUUGGUGAAGAUGGAACCUUAUACUUCAGAGAUCGCAUUGUAGUGCCCCGGUUCAAGCUUAUGACAGAGAAGGUGAUGAAAGAAGUGCAUGACACCCCUCUCUCUAUUCAUCCGGGAAGUACCAAGAUGUAUCUAGACAUUCGUCAGAAGUAUUGGUGGUCUAAGAUGAAGCAAGACAUUGCUCGAUAUAUUGAAGAAUGUGACGUUUGUCGUCGCGUCAAAGCAGAACAUCAGAAACCGGCUGGACUUCUACAACCGCUUCCGAUUCCUGAAUGGAAGUGGGAUAAGAUCCAAAUGGAUUUUGUCACAGGCCUUCCCAAGUCUCAGAAAGGUAAUGAUGCUAUCUUUGUCGUCAUCGACCAAUUCUCGAUGGUUGCUCACUUUCUGCCAGUCAAGGAGACAAUCACUGCUAGUCAAUUAGCAAACUUGUAUAUCUCUUGAAUUGUGUCACUCCAUGGCAUUCCGAAGGAGAUCAGUUCAGACCGCGGCAGUAUAUUCACUUCAAAGUUCUGGGAUAGUUUCCAAGAGGAAAUGGGAACUCAUAUUACCUGGAGCACUGCUUAUCAUCCCCAAUCCCAAGGACAAGUCAAGCGAGUCAAUCAAAUUCUUGAAGAGAUCCUUCGAGCUUGUGUUAUUUCUUUUGGAAAGAAGUGGGAAGAAUCUCUCCCUUAUGCGGAGUUCUCUUAUAACAACAGCUAUCAAGCCAGCUUGAAGAUGUCACACUUCAAAGUGCUAUAUGGACGUAAGUGCCAAACCCCUCUGAAUUCGUCAAAAACUGGGGAAUGAACGCUCAUUAGUCGAGACAUUAUUCAACAAGCUGAAGAGCAGGUUCACAUUGUCCGGGAUAAUCUCAAGGCGGCCCAGUCCCGCCAGAAGAGCAACUAUGACCAGAAAACACUAGGGUUCAACUUAUCAACCUGGUGAACAAGCUUAUUUGCGUGUCACUCCUUUGAGAGGCACUCAUCGGUUCGGAGUCAAGGCAAGCUAGCUCUGCGCUACAUUGGUCCUUUCCGCAUUCUCUCCCAUCAAGGACUGGUGGCUUAUCAAUUGGAGUUGUCACCUCAGUUCUCUCACGUCCAUGACGUCUUCCACGUGUCGCAACUUCGUCGAUGUUUCAAGGAUCCGGAACGUGAAGUGGAUCCGGAAUUGAUUGAAGUUCAAGAUGAUCUCACAUACAAAGAGCAUCCAAUCCGCAUUCUUGAAGAAGCUGAACGUCGAACCCGCCAGAAGGUUACUGAUACGUCUCCAAUGUAUCUACUUUUCCAAACACUUUUGCCCUUGUUUUGGACUCUAACUUGCAUGAUUUGAAUGAAACUAACUCGGACUGACGUUGUUUUCAGCAGAACUGCCAUGAUGUUGUUUUAUGUGUAGAAACGAAAAGUUCUCGGAAUGUCUUGGAAAUCCAUGGAGGCAAUUUUAAGAAUUAAUAAGAAUUUCUAGGCGAAAGAAAUACACCAGGGGGCCCACACCCUGUCCAUGAGAUAGCCCCCCCCUAGGGCGCGUCCUCCUAUCUCGUGGGCCCCCUGGACCUCCAUCGACCUCAACUCCAACUCCCAUAUAUUCACGUUUGGGGAGAAAAAAAUCAGAGAGAAAGUUUCAUCGCGUUUUACGACACAGAGCCACCGCCAAGCCCUAAUCUCUCUCGGGAGGGCUGAUCUGGAGUCCAUUCGGGGCUCCGGAGAGGGGGAUUCAUCGCCGUCGUCAUCAUCAACCAUCCUCCACCAAUUUCAUGAUGCUCACUGCCGUGCGUGAGUAAUUCCAUCGUGGGCUUGCUGGACGGUGAUGGGUUGGAUGAGAUUUACCAUGUAAUCAAGUUAGUUUUGUUAGGGUUUGAUCCCUAGUAUCCACUAUGUUAUGAGAUUGAUGUUGCUAUGACUUUGCUAUGCUUAAUGCUUAUCACUAGGGCCCGAGUGCCAUGAUUUCAAAUCUGAACCUAUUAUGUUUUCAUGAAUAUAUGUGUGUUCUUGAUCCUAUCUUGCAAGUCUAUAGUCACCUAUUAUGUGUUAUGAUCCGACAACCCCGAAGUGACAAUAAUCGGGAUACUUCUCGGUGAUGACCGUAGUUUGAGGAGUUCAUGUAUUCACUAUGUGCUAAUGCUUUGUUCCGGUUCUCUAUUAAAAGGAGGCCUUAAUAUCCCUUAGUUUCCGCUAGGACCCCACUGCCACGGGAGGGUAGGACAAAAGAUGUCAUGCAAGUUCUUUUCCAUAAGCACGUAUGACUAUUUACGGAAUACAUGCCUACAUUACAUUGAUGAACUGGAGCUAGUUCUAUGUCACCCUAUGUUAUAGCUAUUACAUGAGGAAUCGCAUCCGACAUAAUUGUCCAUCACUGAUCCAUUGCCUACGAGCUUUUCAUAUAUUGUUUUUCGCUUAUUUACUUUUCCGUUGCUACUGUUACAACUACUACAAAAACCCAAAAUUAUUAUCUUUACUUUUGCUACCGUUACCUUUAUUAACAUACCACUUUUGCUACUAAAUACUUUGCUAUAGAUACUAAGUUAUCCAGGUGUGGUUGAAUUGACAACUCAACUGCUAAUACUCAAGAAUAUUCUUUGGCUCCCCUUGUGUCGAAUCAAUAAAUUCGGGUUGAAUACUUUACCCUCGAAAGCUGUUGCGAUCCCCUACACUUGUGGGUUAUCAAGACUAAUUUCUGGCGCCCUUGCCGGGGAGCAUAGCUCUAUUCUCCGACUAACUUGGGAUUUAUAUCUGUUGAUCACUAUGAAGAACUUGAAAGACGAUAGAACUAUGAUCUAUCCCUCAACUACGAGGGGAGGUAAGGAACUGCCAUCUAGCUCUGCACUAGAUUCUCCUUCUAUUAUUAGUAAGCUUGCGACACCUAAACCUGCUACUGCUACGAGUUCUGAUAUGUCACAUGUUAUUGAUGAUGCCACUUCUGCUAUGCAUGAUGAAACUACUUCUGUGCAUGAUACUACUUUGCCAUUAGGUGAAUUUCUUGAUGAACAACUUGCUAGAGUUAGGGGGAAUGAAAUUAUUAAAGAUGCUAUUAUUGAUGACAGUGAUGAUGAAGGUUCUGCCAAUGAUUAUGAAUUACCUAUUGUUCCUGAGGGUUAUGUUAUGAAUGAAGAAGCUGCUAGAGCUAUAUUUGCUUGCAAUGAUAGAUAUGAUCUUAAGAAAUUAUUAGCUAAAUGGAAGCAGUAGUCUCUUAAUGCUAGAAUGAAACCUGACCCUGCUUUUGCUACUUCACCUAUUUGUGUCACUGAUAAGGAUUAUGAAUUCUCUGUUGAUCCUGAAAUUAUUACUUUAGUUGAAUCUGAUCCUUUUUAUGGCCUUGAAUCUGAAACUGUUGUGGCACAUCUUACCAAGUUGAAUGAUAUAGCCACCCUAUUUACUAAUGAUGAGAAGUCUCGCUAUUAUUAUAUCCUUAAGAUAUUUCCAUUCUCAUUAAAGGGUGAUGCUAAGACUUGGUAUAAUUCUCUUGCUCCUGGUUGUGUGCGUAGUCCCCAGGAUAUGAUUUAUUACUUCUCUGCUAAAAAUUUCCCUGCUCAUAAGAAACAAGCUGCCUUGCGGGAAAUAUAUAAUUUUGUGCAAACCAAAGGAGGGAGUCUCCCACAAGCUUGGGGGAGGCUUCUCCGAUUACUCAAUGCUUUGCCUGAUCAUCCUCACAAGAAAAAUGAAAUAGUUGAUAUAUCUUUUAUAAUGGGCUAACUGAUGCUUCCAAGGACUACUUGGAUAGUUGUGCUGGUUGUGUUUUCAAGGAAAGAACAGUCGACGAAGCUGAAAUAUUAUUGAAUAAUAUGUUGACUAAUGAAAAUAAUUGGACUCUUCUUGAGCCAAUUCCUGAAGCAAUUGAGCCAAUUCCUGAGCCUAUUCCUAAACCCACUCCGAAGAAGAGAGGUGUUUUAUUUCUCAGUCCUGAAGAUAUGCAAGAGGCAAAGAAAUCAAUGAAAGAAAAAGGUAUUAAAGCUGAAGAUGUUAAGAAUUUACCACCUAUUGAAGAAAUACAUGGUCUUAAUAUACCACCUGUUGAAGAACCACAUUGUCUUGAUAACCUGACACAGGUAGUAAAGGUAAAUUCUCUCUAUAGAUAUGAUAAAGUUAAAAUUCCCUCUACUAAAUUUCGUAGCCCUUGCUUAGAUGAAUUUGAUGACUUUAUGGCUAGACAAGAAAGUUUUAAUGCUUAUAUUGGUAGCGAGUUAAAGAAUAAUGCUUUCGAGAUAGGAUGCGUAGGCGAUAAUAUAGCUAGAGUUAAAGAUGAACUCAAACUCGUUAGCAAAUAUGCUUCUAUGGUUGCUACCCAAGCUGAGCAAGUACUUAAAGCUCAAAAUGAUUUGCUUGAUGUAUUAAAUAAUAAAAAUGACUAUGCUGUUAGAGUGGCUACUAGAACUGGUAGAAUGACUCAGGAACCUUUGUAUCCUAAAGGCCACCCUAGGAGAAUCGAGCAAGAUUCUCAGAGAAACAAUUUAGAGGCACCUAGUUCUUCUAAAAAGAAGAAGAAGAAAAACGAUAAAACUUUGCAUGCUUCUAGUGAACAUAUUGUAGACACACCUGAGAAUCCCAAUGAUAUUUCUAUUUCUGAUGCUAAAACACAAUCAGGUGAUGAACAUGAACCUAGUGAUAAUGUCAAUGAUAAUGUUCAUGUUGAUGCUCAACCUAGCAAAAACAAUGAAGUAGAAAUUGAACCUGCUGUUGAUCUUGAUAACCCACAAUCAAAGAAUCAACGUUAUGAUGAGAGAGAUUUUGUUGCUAGGAAGCACGGUACAGAAAGAGAACCAUGGGUUCAGAAACCCAUGCCCUUUCCUCCUAAACCAUCCAAGUCAAAGGAUGAUGAGGAUUUUGAGCGCUUUGCUGAAAUGGUUAGACCUAUUUUCUUACGUAUGCACUUAACUGAUAUACUCAAAGUAAAUCCUUAUGCUAAGUAUAUGAAGGAUAUCAUUACAAAUAAAAGAAAGAUACCGGAAGCUGAAAUUUCCACCAUGCUUGCUAAUUACACUUUUAAGGGUGGAAUACCAAAGAAACUUGGAGAUCCGGGUGUGCCAACUAUACCAUGCUCCAUUAAAAUAAAUUAUGUUAGAACUGCUUUAUGUGAUCUUGGAGCCCAUGUUAGUGUUAUGCCUCUCUCGUUAUAUCGUAGACUUUAAUUGAAUAAGUUGACACCUACUGAAAUAUCUUUGCAAAUGGCUGAUAAAUCAACUACUAUACAUGUCGGCAUUUGUGAGGAUGUGCCUAUUGUGGUUGCAAAUGUCACUAUCUUAACGGACUUUGUUAUUCUUGAUAUUCCCGAUGAUGAUAGUAUGUCUAUUAUCCUUGGUAGACCUUUUCUUAAUACUGCAGGGGCUGUUAUUGAUUGCAACAAAGGCAAUGUCACUUUUCAUGUUAAUGGUAAUGAGCAUACGGUACACUUUCCGAGGAAACAGUCUCAAGUUCAUAGCAUCAAUUCUAUUGGAAAGGUUCCAACUAUUAUUAUUGGAGGUUUUGAAUUUCCUCUCCCUACUGUCAAGAAAAAGUAUGAUAUUCUUAUUGUUGGGGACUUUCAUAUCCCCAUUGAGGUAACUUAGUGUUAUUCGAAAUUUCUCCGGUUCCGUGUUAUUCGGAAUGAGUUUGUUAACAAGACUUGAUCAACCUUGUUAGUGGAUUCAUUUUAAUGAUCACGAGAUGGAUGGAACUAGAAGGCACAACCUUCUGCACCCUCUUUUUACUUUCUGUUAUUUAGAAUAAAUAAACCAAAAAUAGUAUUAUCUGUCUGUUUUUUGAAUUAUCCGUGCAUUAAAAAAUAGUCCGAAAAUAAAAGUGCUCCAAAUGCCCUGCAAAUUUAGUAUGAUUUUUUCUGGAAUAUUUGAGGAUUUUAGGCACUGAAAUCACUGCAGGAGGGGCAAGCACCAGGCCACGAGAGUGGAGGGUGCCCCCCCUAUAGGGCGCGCCCCUGUCUCGUGGGCCCCUUGUGGCCCCCUCCACUUAUGCCAGCACCCACACACUUCGUUUUCUACCCAAAAAAAAUCCCCAUCCAGCUCAAGCACGAGUUCUAGCUCAUUUUGCUGCGAUUUUCGAUCUCCUGCUCAAAGCUCCAUUUACAAAACUGCUUUGGGAGAUUGUUGCUUGGUAUGUGACUCCUCCAUUGGUCCAAUUAGUUUUUGUUCUAGUGCUUUAUUCAUUGCAAAUUUUUGCUGCAUAGGUGACCAUGUUCUUGAGCUUGCAUGUUAAAUUUAUGAGGUCCCAAGCAAUUCCAAUGCAUGAUAUAGGCUCUAGGCACUUGUAGGAUUAGUUGCUACCAAUCUUGUUAAGUUUUAUUCACUUUUAUUUUGAAGUUACUAAAAUUUCAGAAAUGUUUCAGAAAAAGAAUUAUGUCUAGGAGAAUGUACCAAGGUGGUCCCUCGGUGAAGAAAGGGCCCAGGAUUGCUAUACGUGAGCAAGAUGUCGAAUUGCCGAGGGACGUGGAUGCAUGAGCUUGUGAGUGGCCAUCCGAUGAUUUUAUGGUCGAAGUAGGCUUCAAGGAGGAAUUUGACGUGUAUGUGCAUAAUGCCGAGCUGGAGGACUUCUUACAAGAUAAGUGUCCGCAGUACUAUCAGUUGACUGAUUCUUUUGUGCGGAGGUUUAAAUAUAACUGUGCGCGUAAUUCUCCUAGUGUCAUAUUUGAUAUUUAUGAUACAUCUUAUACCAUGGAUUUAGAGGAUUUUACAACUGCUUGCAGACUCCGGUAGUGGGGUAAUAUUAAUGAUCCUCACAAAUCUGAAUUUAGAGAUUUUCUUGCUGGUAUCACUGUGGGAGAAUCUAGGGACAUAGCACAAGCCACCAUAGGGAGCAUUCAUUUUCCUGCUAUGCAUUAUUUUGCUCUCUUUAUUGGUAGAUGCAUUAAUGGUAAGGAUGAAGCAUGUCACAUGUGUGUCCCUGAUCUGUGUGUCCUCAAGAGUGCUGUGUUAGGUUAUAAAUGUUAUAACUUGGGGGCAAUAGUUGCACGUAGGUUGCAGAAUAAUAGUAGAAAGGGAAAUUUAUUUGGAGGAAUUUAUGCAACCCGUGUGGCUAAUUAUCUUAAUAUAGCCCCACGAGAGGGGGAUAUGAUUUUACCUCCUGUUUAUUUGGAUAAAGAAGCUAUGUUCAAUCAUCAAUUUCUUGCGAGGAAUGAACAAUUCCUCCAAUAUUGACUAACCUAUGACAGACGCAUCGUCGUCCCUGUUACUCUUCCUGCUCCCUACCUUUUUGAUUAUCAGGCAAAAGGAAGAUAUGUUGUCACCAGGGAGGAAGCAGCUGAACACGAGAGGAGAGCGGAGGCAACUCGCCAACACGCCGUAGCUCAGGAGGCGGUUGCCGCUGCAUCUCAGUACGACCCCGGUUUCACUUAUGGAUAUCAGCCAGGCGGUCCUUGGUACUAGACCAACUUAGGCCAAAAGCCUAAGCUUGGGGGAGUACGUAUUUCUCACCGACUUUACAUUCAUGUUCACGGUGCUCAUACUCUUUCAUUGCAUUAUCCAUGCUAGUUUAAUUUUCUUUUUUCUAGUUUUCUUCUUGUGUGUUUGAUAAACUUUAAGAAAAACAAAAAAAA